CCUGCACGCACGUAGUCCUUGACCCCCCAAGGAUAGCCACACAACACAGAGCAUUUCUCUUCCUCACAUCAGUCAUGUCAUCCGGUAGGAACUCUCCGGACUCCGACUCGGUCGACGAGUGGGCGGCCCCGCCACAGGCGUUCUCGGAAGGCGACGCGCCUUCUGGUGCUGCAGCGCCGGCUGCGGCCGCUGGCGGUGGUCGCAGCAUGGAAGCGAUGGACGCCGUAGAGCGCGACUUGGCCGGUGCGUCUGUCACUGUGCUGUUUCAACUUCCCAAUGGCGAGAUGCAUCGGGCAAUGUUUUUCAUGGGCCAGAGCGUAGAGAACAUGAAGGCGCUGCUAGAGAAGGAAAAGGACCUGCCAUACGAGAAGACGACCCUUUACCUCGGGGACCGCAUGCUGUUUGACCCCCUCUCCUUGAGCGACCUCCCCUUCGACCCCAAGAUUGAAAACCUCGUCAAGGUCGAGAUGACCACCUAAGCGUGGCAGUGCGCGGACGCUUCUUCUCUUUUCUUUCCACCAGACCCACUGAAUGGGAUCACCACCCGCCUUUCCCUCUGUCGGCUGCGUGGCACAACUUGACGGAGGGCGACGCUCAUGCAUUUCGCGCGCCCAGAACUUAGCUGCAUGUCGUGAUUUGGUGGAGGCAGAUAUCGUGAGAGCACAGCGAGGCAGGCGCCUCACGUGAUGUGAGAUCACAUCAAUGGGGGAGCGAGGGGGGGGGAACGGUACCAUAGACACCAUACUCGCUCAAAGGGGUGCCUCUCCCGUUGGCUGCUUGCCUUUUCCAGCUUCGGCGGCGCACAAGAAAAUCCACACGCGCGCGACGUUGCCGCGCUGCCCACGUCUGUGAGUUGAGGGGGAGGUGGAGGAGGCAUGGGAAGCCACAGCACGACUUGCGCUUCUUUUUGCUUCACUGAUGCAUCUUUGCCUUUGCGUUUGCGGCUGCGUUUCUACGGCGUGGCACAGCGCAGACGGGGCCGUCGCCCUGGUGCUCAACUGCUUCUUCUAGAAUUGGGGCACCGCCACCACGGCACCGAUUGACCACUGCGCGAUUCGGUCCGCUGCCCACUUUGAUGAGGGGUAUGGCCCGGGCGCCGCCAGUGCUGACUGGGGCCCCAUCACGUUCCUUCCAGGAAGCGAUGUGGCAACGGUGCCGCACCGCGGUCGCCACAUCAGUCCGAAAAGACCGUGCCUGCACCACAGCGAUGCAGAAGCGAAGACGCGCGAGCUUCAGAGUGCGGAACUGACCCCCAAGACCACCACGACAACCCGAAAUCGGACCAGAGGGAGGCAAGGCGGAUCGCUCACGCAGCCCCACCCCAUCCCACCACACAUGCACACACACACACAUACAUAUAUAUAUAUAUAUAUAUUGCGCCACUCACAGGGACGAGGCUACAUUUACAAAUCGACUCAUCGCGAAGACCACCGGGAGCUCCCUUCCAUCCGGUAAAGCUACUUGUCGACCGCCCGGGGCGCGAAAACUGGCGCAGCUCCAAGCAUCUCUCGACAAAAUACCCUGUGAGCCUCCCAAGCAUCGCCCUCUCUCGGGUAUGCUCAUCGAAGCGCUCGAAGGAGCCGGCCUUGAGGGAUGGAGAGAAUCCUGCGACGCCCUCACCCCUCCCGCGACCCUCGACAAUGGGCACGCAUCUUGACCAUUCAUGGGUCUCUCCCCUCCCCGCCCACUGCGCACAACAG
This 1700-nucleotide unclassified non-coding RNA is filed under the name Leishmania donovani. Its description in RNAcentral is "gene:LdHU3.32.3280(CDS-product:hypothetical_prote in_conserved)". The record is from RNAcentral. Lineage: Eukaryota; Euglenozoa; Kinetoplastea; Trypanosomatida; Trypanosomatidae.